GACUUAAUUGUAGUUACUGGAGUGUUUGAAAUAUUGAGAAAAUAAUUAAUGAGCUGUGUGUAAAGUUUACAAAAAGUAAAGAGAAAAUUUGCUUCAAGAAUCAAGAGCGCUUUCAUUCAAUUCCUCAGAAAUUGUGGGAUUAGAUUUAUGGAGCCUAUUGUUGAAAGUGACCCCCGUCUUUGAGUCAUUUUUUUAAAUUACGCGUGGAUGAUUCACAUAACAGCCUUCAAGGCAGAGCCAACUUUUGAGUCAUUUAAUAGAAUUUCAGAAAGAAAUUUCAAGAGCUGGACUCCCCACCCCACACUCAAGAGUGGUUCAAAUUAAAUGCAUAUGCAGCUAAAAAUUCGGAGCUAUUGUUUUAGAUACCACUGGAAAUACUGUAGCUGUUGUCGUGGGGGACACGCUAAUUUCUUUGUAUAUGUGGAGUACUCAGAAGCUGAAGCUGCUCAAUUCGGCUUACAAACGGCAUUAGAAGUUCAAUUGAGCCCUGUUCAGUAAAAGGCCAGUUGAGUCCUCUGUCUCUCUCUCCUUUUUUUUUUUUUUUUGUUUCAUUUUACUUUGCAGGGGUGAUGAGGCCUGACCUUUAGACAUUUUGAAUAAUUAUAAUUUGUUUAUUUUGAGGGAGACUUGACUGUAGUUACUGGUGUUUUUGAAAUAUUUGACAUAAUAUAUUAUUUAAAAAUUAACUAUUGAGCUUCAUGUAAAGUUUAAAAAGGGUAAGAGAAAAAUUGCUUCUAGUGGUUACAAGUUACAACAAAGGUCUAUUAAUUAAGCUGCCUUGAUCCAUUUUACUUUUUGGUUAUUAAUCAUCACAUUCACCGUUAUAUCUAUUUUCAGACUUUUGCAUAUUGAUUGAAGGAUCAAGCUACGGUGCAACAGGUGCAACGUGCCCCUGCGUUUCCUUUUUUGACAGCACCCCUUACUUUCUUCUGUAUUUACAGUUUAUUAAAGUAAUUUCUUUUUCCUCUUUCUUUCACCCCUCACCUUUACAAUCUUCCAUAUUUUUUCCAUUUUCAAUUAAACCUAUAAUCAACCAAGUGCAAUCAAUAAGAAAGAAGUUGACAAGCUAUUUCUUUAUCACCUUAAG
This 1087-nucleotide long non-coding RNA is filed under the name Citrus x clementina. Its description in RNAcentral is "Citrus clementina (C. clementina) long non-coding RNA (CCLE_LNC004478)". Lineage: Eukaryota; Viridiplantae; Streptophyta; Magnoliopsida; Sapindales; Rutaceae. The record is from RNAcentral.